Molecule: ribosomal RNA, 301 nt
Filed under: uncultured bacterium
Lineage: Bacteria
Description: partial 16S ribosomal RNA
Rfam family: Bacterial small subunit ribosomal RNA
Source: RNAcentral
CAGCAGCCGCGGGAAUACGUAGGUGGCAAGCGUUGUCCGGAAUUAUUGGGCGUAAAGGGCUCGCAGGCGGUUUCUUAAGUCUGAUGUGAAAGCCCCCGGCUCAACCGGGGAGGGUCAUUGGAAACUGGGAAACUUGAGUGCAGAAGAGGAGAGUGGAAUUCCACGUGUAGCGGUGAAAUGCGCAGAGAUGUGGAGGAACACCAGUGGCGAAGGCGACUCUCUGGUCUGUAACUGACGCUGAGGAGCGAAAGCGUGGGGAGCGAACAGGAUUAGAUACCCGCGUAGUCCCUGUCUCUUAUAC